CCAUACAUAAUCUUAACAACUAGAUACAACAAUAAUUAAUAAUAACUAGAGCCAUCCAACAGUCUGGGGAGCUGGCUGGCUGGCUGAAGUGCCUGGUAACCAGAGAGUGUGGUAGCCCAGGGAGCUGAGGAGCCAGCUACUUAGGGAGUCUGGAGCUGGAUGGCCCAGCCGCUUGCCUGCCUUCCAGGAUGGCAGCUUGGGAACUGAUCAUCUGGGUAUUUGAACAGCCAGGAACUCAGACAUGUGACUCCCCAGUAAAACUUCCCACUACGUCUGAUGUUCUAAAGGAUAUUGGAAGGUGAAUGGAGAAAUACUCUCAAUGAAGAUACGAUUGAGUAAUUUCAGCAAUAGAUUUGAAAUACUCCUGGAACCACUAGUGUGAUCCCGGCAAGAUUGGAUACAGCACAAGCAUCAGCAGUGCAAAUUUUCUCACCCCGGCCAACUAAUGUUCCUCAACUGUGACCAGGAAGAACCACCUCUGGAAAGUUCAGUCCCCAGCUCAAUUAAAUCCUUGGC
Long non-coding RNA from Mauremys reevesii (Reeves's turtle), 516 nucleotides. RefSeq lists it as uncharacterized. NCBI's taxonomy places the organism in Eukaryota, Metazoa, Chordata, Testudines, Geoemydidae. The record is from RefSeq and is a predicted model, not a curated record. The transcript is spliced from 4 exons.